AAGCCCGAAUGUAUGAUCCUGGCUCAAAGUAAACGCAGUAUCUAGACCUAACACAUGUUGGUGAAGAGAUUAGAAGAUCAAUUUGCGGAGAGGUGAGUAAGAAAGAAAUUUACCCUUUAACCCUCAUAGAAGGUUAUUAUAAAGUAAAGGAUAAUUAAUUUUGAAGAUUAGAUAAAAGAUGAAAAUCUUGUCGAUAAUCUUUAGCAUAACGCCACAAUAACUCAAAAGUUGAGAGUUAUCCCAUGGCAGCAGUGAGGAAUAUUAGGCAAUCGGUGAAAACUGGACCUAGUCUAGAUAAGGCAAGGCAUAUAUAGCUAAGCCCUAAUCUAUCGCAAUUCGUGAUAAUGCAGCACUCACACACAACACAGCAGGGUAUCAUUGAAUCAAUAAAAUGAAUAUUUAGAUUAGAAAUUCUGGCGAAAUCUGUGCCAGCAGCCGCGGUAACACAGAUAGAAUAGCGUUACUAUUUAAUUAAUAGGCAUGAAGCGUAUUUAGAUGGUUAAAAAACUAGAGUAAUAAAGGAGUAAUAGGAAUAAUCGGUGUAGAGAUGAAAUGUGUAAAUAUCGAUUGGAACUACAAAGGCGACGGCAUAUUGCUAUUUAUUACUGACAUUUCAAUACUAAAGUAUGGGCAGUAACGAGGAUUAGAGACCCUUUUAAUCCAUACCCUAAAUACUGAAUGAGAAUCAAAUUAUAAAUAUCAUUCCGCCUGGAUAGUAGGAUGGCAACAUUGAAACCCAAUGGAAUAGACGGGUCUUGAGAUAAGCCGUGAAGCAUGUGGUUUAAUUGGAUGAUCCCCCUUUAAUCUUACCUUUUCUUUUAAAUGGUGUUGCAUGGCUGUUGAUUAGCUUUUGAAGUAAUUUUUAAAAAGCAAUUCACCUCAUAGGAGGUUUCACUUCAAGUACGCAUGGCCCAAUGAAAAGGGCUACACACAUGCCACAAUUUCUAAUCCAAUUUCGAAAAUUAGAAGAAGUACAGAUUUUUAACUGAAACUCGUUAAAAUGAAGCUGGAAUGGCUAGUAAUCGUGUAAUAGUAAGAUACGGUGAAUAAUUAAAUCAAGAUUGUACUAACCGCCCGUCAAGGCAAUCUAGAUAUAUAAAGAAGCAAUAGAAAUUCGAAUAUUCUGGUUUGAUUUAUCAAUUUGAAAUUGAAUUUAAUUCUCAUGUAUAUCAAGAAGGUUUAAGUCGUAACAAGGUCACCGUACUGGAAGGUGUGGUGUAAACCGUAACAGG
Molecule: ribosomal RNA, 1232 nt
Filed under: Synchytrium endobioticum
Lineage: Eukaryota; Fungi; Chytridiomycota; Chytridiomycetes; Synchytriales; Synchytriaceae
Description: small subunit ribosomal RNA
Rfam family: Bacterial small subunit ribosomal RNA
Source: RNAcentral